This 465-nucleotide ribosomal RNA is filed under the name Vreelandella stevensii. RNAcentral's name for it is "partial 16S ribosomal RNA". It matches the Rfam family "Bacterial small subunit ribosomal RNA", at positions 338 to 795 of the family's 1533-position model. Lineage: Bacteria; Pseudomonadati; Pseudomonadota; Gammaproteobacteria; Oceanospirillales; Halomonadaceae. The record is from RNAcentral.
CCUACGGGUGGCAGCAGUGGGGAAUAUUGGACAAUGGGGGCAACCCUGAUCCAGCCAUGCCGCGUGUGUGAAGAAGGCCCUCGGGUUGUAAAGCACUUUCAGUGAGGAAGAACGCCUGGUGGUUAAUACCCAUCAGGAAAGACAUCACUCACAGAAGAAGCACCGGCUAACUCCGUGCCAGCAGCCGCGGUAAUACGGAGGGUGCGAGCGUUAAUCGGAAUUACUGGGCGUAAAGCGCGCGUAGGUGGCUUGAUAAGCCGGUUGUGAAAGCCCCGGGCUCAACCUGGGAACGGCAUCCGGAACUGUCAAGCUAGAGUGCAGGAGAGGAAGGUAGAAUUCCCGGUGUAGCGGUGAAAUGCGUAGAGAUCGGGAGGAAUACCAGUGGCGAAGGCGGCCUUCUGGACUGACACUGACACUGAGGUGCGAAAGCGUGGGUAGCAAACAGGAUUAGAUACCCCAGUAGUC